AGCUGUGACAAUUUGCAGGGGAGCCAUGAGACAUCCAAAUGGGGAGAGUCCCAUAUGUCAGGAGGUGUUUGGAGGUGACCCAGGACAGAAGACAACCAAGUGGACUCUUGACUCAAGGGAUGCCUCGGAGCCGUCUGCUUGGAGCAGUGAGAUGAAAGGGAGACACCCUUUGAUGUGUUUGCCGUUCACACAGUGCCUCUGUGGGGAAUCAACCCGAGCACUUUUGCAGCACCUUCCACCACUGUUAAUCACCCAGGAGCUGCUGCUGGAUGGACGUCAACUUUUUCUUGAUGUGGAGGAGAGCAGGAACGCUGUCAAUGCCAGGCAUCAGUCUUUCUGUUGCAGACUCCAGGCAUUAUUGGUUUGGGCCCAGUUCUCCAAAGUUCUUUGCAAACUAAGUGGCUUUACUGAGGUGACCCUUUGGGCAGGUGCCGUGCUCUGCCACCCUCCCUCGUUGGCUGGAUGGCCCCUUGCAUCUCCCAGCCAGCCAAGCCUGUCAUGCAAAGCUGCCAUCUCCAGCACUGUACGCAGAGCACCGUGUGAACAGCAGGCUCUGAGCAUGCUGCCUCACAGCCUCCAGUGCAAAGGUGGCCCCAGGGCACUUCCCAUGGAUUUUCCGCCCACAGGUGCCACCACCCUUCUGGAAGGAAGCAGUCGGCCUUGUUUUGAGCUGCUGCCUUGCAAAUGCAUCCUCUCUAGCACACAUCUGCCUGACCCAGGACAAAGCAACCUGUGGCCUCAAGGAGUGAAACACAGCCUUGAAAACUGAAAGUGCUGUACACAGACAGAGCAAGUGAUGCUCUCCACUAGCUCCUGUGACAAUCACCUUUCUGCUUUUCAGUCUUUGUCAGGAACAGGAAUGAUCCCUAUAGUUUCUUUUCCUGCCUUGUGCUGCCUUCACAUCUGCUGCAGAGCAGAAAUUAAAGGAGAUGGAUGCAGACCCUGGUCUGCUUUGUGGAAAUAUUUGUAGUAUUUUCAGUUUAGGUAAAGGUCUUUCACUAACAAAUCCUACCUGCUGACCCCAAAGCACAUGAGAUCCUCUCAGAUUUUUUGCCAUCAUUCCUCGUGCUUUUGUGUUCCUUCAAACAUUUGUUGCUUCAAACAAUCCUCUUGGAAAAGCUUCUAGCAGCUCCGGAAUGGGUCCCUGGAAACUUAGUGAGCUAGUUGCAAUGCAGAGCUCAGAAGUGCUCUUUCCACAUGUGCUACCUCUUGGAAGCCAAGGAGGCAUUCCUAGGGCCAGGAAGAGAGAGUGUAUGCCACCAUGUGGCAGCAGAUUCCCAAGUGUGGAGCUCAGGAGAGCUUGAGGCAAGCCCAGCUUAUAGCUCAGGCUGGAGGAGGGCCUGGCCCUUGUAGGCAGAGCUUCAGCAAGGAGUUAUGACCUUCUGUGCAUGGACAGGGAGGUGCUGUACAGGCACCCUGUCCCAUCUCCAAAGGCACCAGCCACCCCCUCUGUGAAGGUAAGAUUUAUUCUGCAAUUGAGCAGCCCUGGAAUUUACCAUGGAAGACAAUAUUAAUCUGAGAAUUGUGUUCCAGCACCAAAGACUCAUUAUUCAGAGUGACAGCCUGCAGAGCUGAAAAUAAACAAAGAACAAAGUCAAAUCAAGUAGCUUUGGACAGAAACCACCCUGCCUCAAGGCAGAAGACGACUUCUAAGCAAGAGAGACAACUUCUGAGGAAGAAACUCUUUUGGAAGCACAUUAUCCCACUGAUGCAAAGCUUCUUCCUUUUCUCUCAGAAGCAACCAAAUACUGGCCUGCCAGGAAACUUUGGAGGAAAUGUGUCUAAGAGGCUAGACCAUGCUGGCAGACCUCCAAGACCUUGUGCUGAUUUGCCCUGGUGGAGACUCCAACCCAUUGCUGCUGUCUGGGAAAACCAGAUCAGUGUGUCCUUGAGAAGAACAUAUAGACAAUGAGAGUGUGCAUGGGGAAAAAUGGACCAGAUCUACCUCUUCUGCUUCCCUCUGUGCUUGUGCAGGGUAGAGCCAAGCAUCGACUUAGGAAGGCAGGAUGAGCCUGUGGAAAUCAGAUGCAGCACAGAGGAGGAGGAGGAAGAGGAGGAGGAGGAAGGACAUAACAUCUUCAGUAUCAGGAUGGAAAUGUGGAACCUCAACUUUCAAAGGUCAUCCAGUUGGGCUCACACUCCAGCUCACAUUGUCUGGAGAAACAGGUCUUCAU
Vidua macroura (Pin-tailed whydah) is the source of this 2174-nucleotide long non-coding RNA. RefSeq lists it as uncharacterized. The record is from RefSeq and is a predicted model, not a curated record. The transcript is spliced from 5 exons. Lineage: Eukaryota; Metazoa; Chordata; Aves; Passeriformes; Viduidae.